AGGACGAACGCUGGCGGCGUGCUUAACACAUGCAAGUCGAGCGGAAAGGCCCUUCGGGGUACUCGAGCGGCGAACGGGUGAGUAACACGUGAGCAAUCUGCCCUUAGCUUCGGGAUAGCUCCGGGAAACCGGAAUUAAUACCGGAUAUGACUAUGGCUGACAUCAGCCACGGUGAAAGUUUUCGGCUAGGGAUGAGCUCGCGGCCUAUCAGCUAGUUGGUGGGGUAACGGCCUACCAAGGCGACGACGGGUA
RNAcentral lists this ribosomal RNA (252 nucleotides) under uncultured bacterium. Its description in RNAcentral is "partial small subunit ribosomal RNA". It matches the Rfam family "Bacterial small subunit ribosomal RNA", at positions 26 to 285 of the family's 1533-position model. The record is from RNAcentral.